Lycium barbarum (goji berry) is the source of this 2220-nucleotide long non-coding RNA. RefSeq lists it as uncharacterized. The transcript has 5 exons. The record is from RefSeq and is a predicted model, not a curated record. Lineage: Eukaryota; Viridiplantae; Streptophyta; Magnoliopsida; Solanales; Solanaceae.
AGCCAACCACACCCUCACUUCUCUUUAUCGUUUGAAAGGGGUAAAAGCCCUAGCCUCCUAGAAUAUUUUUUCCUCUCUCUUCGCUGUCGUUGCUGGAAAUGGAAAAAGCGUGGGUCAAACAUAUGAAGUGCAGUCUUGCUCUUCCAUUUUGGGCAAGAGCAGUUAAUGCUCUUGCCCUCUUUCACCGUCACCACCGCAUAUCAGCCACGGAAAGAGCUGAGUUCGUGCGGUAAGGAGCAAGGAAACCUCCAAGUCUAAUCUCGACAUUUGACCACACACAACAAAGGCCAGUCUCCUCUUUCAAAGCUUGUUGGGCUAGAGGCCCAACUUCUUUUUUUUCCUUGAUCGAGUCCGAACCAAAGAUGAAACAAGAAGGCCCAACCAUGGGUGAAAAUGGUCAACUGGUGGGCUAAGGCCCACCAGCCUAACUUUCUUCUCUUGCCAUUAUUGUGUAUAUAUAUGUUUCCGUGUUUAUAAGUUGUAUAUUUAAACAACACUAAUAUUAUUAUUGGAACCCGAAUGCGAUUAGAAUUAGGAAAAACUCGUGUAGAUGGUUAAACAUUUUUCACAAAAAAAGAAGAAGAUGGUUUUCAAAAUUAAACAUGAACUAUGCAUGCAAAUCGGAAAAUCUUAUGAUUUUUACAAAAAAUUCUUUCGGAGUAUAAAGAUGACAAAAUAGGUGGUAUGAAUGGAUCCGGACUGAAAAAUUUGAUUAGGGCUGUAUGCCCCUUCUUACAAAAAAAAUAAAUGAAAGAACUGGUUUUGGGCUAUAGGCCCACUUGAAAAUUAAAAGCAUGAAAUGGACUUCCUUUGGACUUGAUAAAAUGGACUCGAAACAUUUUGGGUCUAUUCAUAAAAACUUGGGCUGACUUUGGACCAAAAUUGGAAUAAAAAAAACUAAAUUUCCAUAAAAUACAAGUGCGAGUGGAUUUCUUUAAAACUUGUUUGGACUUAAGGGAUUUUCAAACACUUUUGGGCCAAAAGCCCAAAACUUAAGGCAAAUAAAUAAAAAGAAAUAUACUUGGACUAUAGUUUGAGAAGUAAGUUGGCUUUGGUUUUAAAAUAUGGUUGGUUAAUUGAGCUUCAAUGGACUAAAACUAAAUAAGUGGACUUCUAUUCAUACUUAUACAAAAUCUAUGCCACUUUUUACAAAGGAGAUAUACUCCAUUUAUGUUACGUCUCGUAUUUUUAUACAUUGGGGCAACCCGGAGUAACUAUGAUAAUUUAAGGCCAAGACCAUUCCGGGAAUUGAAGUCGGAACUUUUGACCAUUUGAUUUUAUUUUGAGCUAUAAGUUAUAUAUGAAAUUAUUGGUAUUGAACACUUAGGAAAAAUUGGGACCAUAAUUCAUAAAAUUGGAAUUUAAAAAUGUUGUGCAAAAUGUCAUGGUGGCCGUGCAAGUUGAAAUGGUCCCACACCUUGUGUGACCAAUUUUAAUUGGUCCAACACAUUGUGUGGGCCAAAGACAAUAUGGAGAUAUUUCUUUAGGGGACUUAAAAGAUGACCACUAAGUCUUCUUUCCUCAUUUUCUAUACUUAGCAAAAGAAGAAAACAAAGCAAGUUGAAGAGCUUCAACUUGAAGCUCUCGGCCAACCAAGGAGAAAAACCAACCCCAUUUUGAGUCUUCCUAAAAAUAUUUCCUUGAUACAAACCCACUAUAUUGAAGCCCCUAAGUAGCGUGGAAGUAUUGUUUGGGUCAUCCAACCAUUAGUUGUGCCUAUUUGCAAACCCUAGCCUAUUGGUGGAGGUGAAGAACAAAGGCCUUGGGGAGCCCGAGGCGUAGAUUGGGAUUAACUUUAGAUCGGCUAGCUUGGAGGGCGUUCGAGGUACAGACGCACAGUUUGGUGAUCCUCCAGUCUAGGACACCCCCUUCUGCCGUUGGAGUGCUCUUCUCAUUUCAGAGCACAUAUUUUGGUAUAUAUUUUGUUCGCUAUGUACGUAUAUAUUUGCUCAGGGGUACGGCGGGGCCCUGUCCCGCCAUAUGUUUCUGUUGGUCUGUUUAGAGGUCUGUAGACGUAUUUGUGGGUGUGUGUGCCUACUUUUGUACAGAUGUGUUCGUGUGACCCUAUUCGUUAUGGCAGCCUUGUCGGCGUGCACUUUGUAUAUGUUUUGGGCCGUUGCGCCAUCCGUUAGCCUUGUCGGCUUUUGAUACAUCUGUUAGCCUUGUCGGCUUUUGAUACAUUUGAUAGCCUUGCCGGCUUUUUGACAUAUAUAUAUAUAU